This 447-nucleotide ribosomal RNA is filed under the name uncultured bacterium. Its description in RNAcentral is "bacterial SSU rRNA". It matches the Rfam family "Bacterial small subunit ribosomal RNA", at positions 329 to 792 of the family's 1533-position model. The record is from RNAcentral.
UUCCAGACUCCUACGGGAGGCAGCAGUGGGGAAUAUUGCACAAUGGGGGAAACCCUGAUGCAGCGACGCCGCGUGAGUGAAGAAGUAUUUCGGUAUGUAAAGCUCUAUCAGCAGGGAAGAAAAAAGACGGUACCUGACUAAGAAGCCCCGGCUAACUACGUGCCAGCAGCCGCGGUAAUACGUAGGGGGCAAGCGUUAUCCGGAAUUACUGGGUGUAAAGGGUGCGUAGGUGGCAUGGUAAGUCAGAAGUGAAAGCCCGGGGCUUAACCCCGGGACUGCUUUUGAAACUGUCAUGCUGGAGUGCAGGAGAGGUAAGCGGAAUUCCUAGUGUAGCGGUGAAAUGCGUAGAUAUUAGGAGGAACACCAGUGGCGAAGGCGGCUUACUGGACUGUCACUGACACUGAUGCACGAAAGCGUGGGGAGCAAACAGGAUUAGAUACCCGAGUA